ACUCCUACGGGAGGCAGCAGUGGGGAAUAUUGCACAAUGGGGGAAACCCUGAUGCAGCCAUGCCGCGUGUGUGAAGAAGGCCUUCGGGUUGUAAAGCACUUUCAGUAGGGAGGGAAGGUAGUGUAGUUAACACCUGCAUUAUUUGACGUUACCUACAGAAGAAGCACCGGCUAACUCCGUGCCAGCAGCCGCGGUAAUACGGAGGGUGCGAGCGUUAAUCGGAAUUACUGGGCGUAAAGCGCAUGCAGGCGGCCUGUUAAGUCAGAUGUGAAAGCCCGGGGCUUAACCUCGGAAUUGCAUUUGAAACUGGCAGGCUAGAGUCUUGUAGAGGGGGGUAGAAUUUCAGGUGUAGCGGUGAAAUGCGUAGAGAUCUGAAGGAAUACCAGUGGCGAAGGCGGCCCCCUGGACAAAGACUGACGCUCAGAUGCGAAAGCGUGGGGAGCAAACAGGAUUAGAUACCCUGGUAGCACAGAG
This 474-nucleotide ribosomal RNA is filed under the name uncultured bacterium. RNAcentral's name for it is "bacterial SSU rRNA". It matches the Rfam family "Bacterial small subunit ribosomal RNA", at positions 335 to 799 of the family's 1533-position model. The record is from RNAcentral.